GAACGCUGGCGGCGUGCCUAACACAUGCAAGUCGAACGGAGAAUACAUUUUGAAGCAAUUAGCUUGCUAAGAGUGGAAAUGUUGUAUUCUUAGUGGCGGACGGGUGAGUAACGCGUGGAUAACCUGCCUCACGACUGGGGGGAUAACAGCGAGAAAUUGCUGCUAAUACCGCAUAAGCGCACAGCAUUGCAUGAUGCAGUGUGAAAAACUAAAGUGAUGUGAGAUGGAUCCGCGUCUGAUUAGCUAGUUGGUAGGGUAAGAGCCUACCAAGGCGACGAUCAGUAGCCGGCCUGAGAGGGUGAACGGCCACAUUGGGACUGAGACACGGCCCAAACUCCUACGGGAGGCAGCAGUGGGGGAUAUUGCACAAUGGGGGAAACCCUGAUGCCAGCGACGCCGCGUGAGUGAAGAAGUAUUUCGGUAUGUAAAGCUCUAUCAGCAGGGAAGAAAAUGACGGUACCUGACUAAGAAGCCCCGGCUAACUACGUGCCAGCCGCUGC
This 500-nucleotide ribosomal RNA is filed under the name uncultured bacterium. RNAcentral describes it as "bacterial SSU rRNA". It matches the Rfam family "Bacterial small subunit ribosomal RNA", at positions 31 to 518 of the family's 1533-position model. The record is from RNAcentral.